This 253-nucleotide ribosomal RNA is filed under the name uncultured bacterium. Its description in RNAcentral is "partial 16S ribosomal RNA". It matches the Rfam family "Bacterial small subunit ribosomal RNA", at positions 524 to 776 of the family's 1533-position model. The record is from RNAcentral.
UACAGAGGGGGCAAGCGUUGUUCGGAAUUACUGGGCGUAAAGGGCGCGUAGGCGGCCUUCUAAGUCGAACGUGAAAUCCCCGGGCUCAACCCGGGAACUGCGUCCGAUACUGGAAGGCUUGAAUCCGGGAGAGGGAUGCGGAAUUCCAGGUGUAGCGGUGAAAUGCGUAGAGAUCGGGAGGAAUACCAGUGGCGAAGGCGGCCUUCUGGACUGACACUGACGCUGAGGCGCGAAAGCCAGGGGAGCAAACGGG